AUAAAUUGUAGCGUUUUAUGUUUUCGUUCAUAGUGUUUUAACCAAACAGUUGUGGCUACUCAUGGUGAGGAAUGACCGCUAAGAGUUUGGGUUCUUUCAAUGCAUUUGGAGGUCACUGCUACACGUUGAUGUUUAGGAGGUUGAGAGGUUUGCCUUUAGGUAAGUUGUGGCCAGGGGGAGUGUCCCAUGGGUAAGUGGUGGCCCUGUAGGGUGACGGAGAGCUAGGGGAGGCGCAAUCAGACUGCAGAAUUCCCCGCAGCCACCAUGAGGGUCAGGAGCAGGCCGGGGACCCAGCCGUGGAGGAAGGUGGCCCAGAAGCGUUUGUCUGAUGUGCACAGCUACACCCUGCCUGGCCACAUGGGGUUCCCUGUUUUCUCUCUGCCGGGUGGUGGCAGAGUUGGUGAGACACCAGGUGCCUGUGAUGCAUUGGGUAGACAGGUUCUUUGAGAACGUCAGCACAGACUUCUUGCACGAGCGGUACUCACUUCCUCCAGCAUGGGGAGUGACAUGAAGAGCAAGGGUUUUCCUUUCAAACUGGGCAUAGCUGCAGAGCCACAGGCCGUCUCAGACAUUUCCACAAAGCCACUCCGGGAGGCGGGCUGCGCCCGUGUGAGGGCUCUCCCUCGGCACUGCUCAUCUUUUGGGGCUGGACAUGCGUGGCCCUGGGC
RNAcentral lists this long non-coding RNA (668 nucleotides) under Pan troglodytes (chimpanzee). RNAcentral's name for it is "long non-coding RNA NONPTRT005882". Lineage: Eukaryota; Metazoa; Chordata; Mammalia; Primates; Hominidae. The record is from RNAcentral.